CAAAUUGGAGUAUAAUAGAAAUAAUGUGGAAAAAAAAGAAAAAAAAAGAAAAAACCAAAUCAAGGAGGAUUGAAUUUAAUCAUCAUGCAUGCAACACGUGCAAGAAGCUUUGAAUAUUUAGUUGACAAAUAUGGCAAGCACGUGGGGGAGCAUUAAAGAAUUAAUUGGCAAUUUGAAUGAUUCACCUGAUGGGCUUUGGCUUUGCAAAU
This 209-nucleotide long non-coding RNA is filed under the name Citrus sinensis (sweet orange). Its description in RNAcentral is "long non-coding RNA (CSIN_LNC000769)". The record is from RNAcentral. Lineage: Eukaryota; Viridiplantae; Streptophyta; Magnoliopsida; Sapindales; Rutaceae.